Molecule: ribosomal RNA, 399 nt
Filed under: Triticum aestivum (bread wheat)
Lineage: Eukaryota; Viridiplantae; Streptophyta; Magnoliopsida; Poales; Poaceae
Description: partial small subunit ribosomal RNA
Source: RNAcentral
AUGAAUGUGCUCCGGCUUGAAUCUCGCGUUGCAGCUGUCGUCGACUAUCUUGCAAGGCUGAAGGUUGCAACUUCUCGCAUCGACACAACACUCUGGCCAAGAGAGACGCUCCAGAACGACCUCGAGUGUCUGAUGACUCGACUGAACGAGGUCCCAAGUCGAGUGCAGGAGUGGAAGAAGUCUUCUGCCAGGUGUGGCACAGAUGUUGCUCUGUCUCUGGUCCGCAUUCACUGCAAGGAUGCACGAGAGGAUAAGCUGGUGGCCCUUAGGGUAGCUAACACCAAGAAGCAUGAUUUUCGAUCUUUCAUGGAGACCUUCAUCGCCGCUGCCACUCGGAUUGCAGAUGGUAUCGACCUUGAUGAGUUCGUUGCACCUUCCAGCCCUCCACGGGAGGGGUAA